GCGCGAUCGCGGCUCCGCAUGUACAUUAAUUGUGACAAAACAAAACAAACAAAUAACUCACCGUUGAGUCGAGUGUGAGGUAGUGUAAAGAUGAAUGAAUCGGCCGGGUUAUUGCACGCUGUCAACUGGCCUGUAGUGCAAAAUUUGUCGUGAUCUGACAAGUACGCCAACCACAGGGACAACAGCAGCCAGAGGAGCAGGGACAUGCAGCUGAUUGACCCGGAACUUAUACAGGAUUCAUUCCCGCCACAAUAAAGGGACUGGCGGAAGUGGGGUCAGAAGUUACCGUGGUUACACAUGUGAUCACAUAGAAAUUCCAACACAGAGAACACAGGAUAGAAAUAGAUAUUUUUUAACCCUUUCAUGCAGGAAUUAUGACAACCUCAAUCAGGAUUUUUUUUCUUAAGUAUUUUUAUUCAUCUUUAGGCAUGACAAAAAGAUUUCUGAACUAUGUGCAUGCAACAUGUGCAUUUUGAACUUCAUUUUUUUAAACAUGUACUUUUUUUAAACGUGGUUUUUUUUUUUGUUUGUUUGUUUGUUUUUUAAAUGGCAGGGUAUGGAGUGACACAUCAGUGUCCAAUGUAGUGGUUUAAGUGCAAGUAUACCAUCAACACUGACGCAAAUACAAGAAAACAGCCUUUGAAUAGCUGUCAACUGUAGUGACCACUAUGCGUAACAGGGUUAAUCUAGCUAAAUGUUUCUUAGCUGAAAGUUGGACAUCCUGUCAUUUAAAGUUAACAAAUUUAAGGAAAAUCUGAUGAGUGGUAAUACAGACUAUGCUGAAAAUGGUGACACUUAUUUACAUGCAGUAGCAUUGUGAUUAAAAUAUGCAGUCAGCAUUUUGUAGCCCUGAUUUGCAGUUAUUACACAGAAAAUAUCACAAAUGUAUCCAGUUACCUUUUUUUCUUUUAGUAUUGCUGUAACUUUAAAAGAAAUGCUGCGUUGUGCUUUUACUUUGGUAAUCAUGUGCUAAUCAGUAAUACCUCUUCUGCUGUUGUUAAACUGAGUGGAGCGGUAGUAAAUCUAAAGGUCAUAGGGGAUGAUUCAUACACAGUGCUUAACAAAUUUACCACUCAGUGUAAAGUUUAUGCCUUGGUUGCCCUAAAUUA
Molecule: long non-coding RNA, 1109 nt
Organism: Astatotilapia calliptera (eastern happy)
Lineage: Eukaryota; Metazoa; Chordata; Actinopteri; Cichliformes; Cichlidae
Source: Ensembl